UACGACUACAUAUCAGGCAUAUCAAUAAGCGGAGGAAAAGAAACUAACUAGGAUUCCCUCAGUAACGGCGAGUGAAGCGGGAAGAGCUCAAAUUUGAAAUCUUCAAGGUUCUAUCCUUGACGAAUUGUAGUUUAAAGAAGUGUUUUCUGUUGAGUGUUUCGGUAAAAGUUCUUUGGAAUAGGACAUCAUAGAGGGUGAGAAUCCCGUAUUUGACCAUUAUUUCCAGCUGUGUGAUACACUUUCAAAGAGUCGGAUUGUUUGGGAAUGCAGUCCAAAAUGGGUGGUAAAUUUCAUCUAAAGCUAAAUAUUGGCGAGAGACCGAUAGCGAACAAGUACCGUGAGGGAAAGAUGAAAAGAACUUUGAAAAGAGAGUUAAACAGUACGUGAAAUUGUCAAAAGGGAAGCGUUUGACACCAGUGUUGUUUUCUCGAAAAUCAAUUAAAAAUGGCUUGAUUUUGUGUUGUAUUGACCUUAAAAGCUUUCUUCACUUUUUUCAUGUCUUUUUUAAUGCACUUUUCGUUUAACAAGUCAACAUCAGUUUCUUUUGUUGUAAAAAGGUCAGUUGGAAGGUGGCUUUCUUUUCGGAGAAAGUGUUUAUAGCCUUUGACUCCUGCAAUCGGAGAGACUGAGGUCUGCAGCGUAGAUCCUUUGGAUUAGAUUCAUUUGUGCUAAGUUAUAGCUUUUUAUAGACAACUUGUUGACUAUGAUCAGUCAUGUAACUUACUCGCUUAUGCUAAUUUUACCUACGCUUAGGAUGUUGACGCGCGUGUGUGCGUG
RNAcentral lists this ribosomal RNA (777 nucleotides) under uncultured Neocallimastigales. Its description in RNAcentral is "partial large subunit ribosomal RNA". It matches the Rfam family "Eukaryotic large subunit ribosomal RNA", at positions 24 to 624 of the family's 3401-position model. Lineage: Eukaryota; Fungi; Neocallimastigomycota; Neocallimastigomycetes; Neocallimastigales. The record is from RNAcentral.